GACGAACGCUGGCGGCGUGCUUAACACAUGCAAGUCGAACGGAAAGGCCCUGCUUUUGUGGCGUGCUCGAGUGGCGAACGGGUGAGUAACACGUGAGUAACCUGCCCCUGUCUUUGGGAUAACUUCAGGAAACUGGGGCUCAUACCGGGUAGGAGCUCCUUAUGCAUGGUGUUGGUGGGAAAGUUUCGGCGGUUGGUGAUGGACUCGCGGCUUAUCAGCUUGUUGGUGGGGUGGUGGCUUACCAAGGCUUUGACGGGUAGCCGGCCUGAGAGGGUGACCGGCCACAUUGGGACUGGGAUAGGGCCAAGACUCCAACGGGAGGAAGCAGUGGGGAAUAUUGCAAAAUGGGCGGAAGCCGGAUGCAGCAACGCCGCGUCGGGGAUGACGGCCUUCGGGUUGUAACCCGCUUUAGCCUGUAACGAAGCGUGAGUGACGGUAAUGGGUAAAGAAGCACCGGCUAACUACGUG
RNAcentral lists this ribosomal RNA (468 nucleotides) under uncultured bacterium. RNAcentral's name for it is "partial 16S ribosomal RNA". It matches the Rfam family "Bacterial small subunit ribosomal RNA", at positions 28 to 507 of the family's 1533-position model. The record is from RNAcentral.